Molecule: ribosomal RNA, 184 nt
Filed under: Polyscias sp. 'modestei'
Lineage: Eukaryota; Viridiplantae; Streptophyta; Magnoliopsida; Apiales; Araliaceae
Source: RNAcentral
GUGCUUGGGCGAGAGUAGUACUAGGAUGGGUGACCCCCUGGGAAGACCUCGUGUUGCACCCCCCUUCUUUUUGCAYUUUUCUGCCUUUUUGGAAGAAUGAAAACGCGCGUACGAAUGAACAUGGCUUACAAAAUUCGAGAAUAGUAACGUUUGGCAAUAUAGGAGUAAAAAAGAAAAAGGCCCC